AUUGAACGCUGGCGGCAGGCUUAACACAUGCAAGUCGAGCGGGGGAAGGUAGCUUGCUACCGGACCUAGCGGCGGACGGGUGAGUAAUGCUUAGGAAUCUGCCUAUUAGUGGGGGACAACAUCUCGAAAGGGAUGCUAAUACCGCAUACGUCCUACGGGAGAAAGCAGGGGAUCUUCGGACCUUGCGCUAAUAAAUGAGCAUAAAGCGGAUUAGCCAGUUGGUGGGGUAAAGGCAUACCAAGGAGACGAUCUGUAGCGGGUCUGAGAGGAUGAUCCGCCACACUGGGACUGAGACACGGCCCAGACUCCUACGGGAGGCAGCAGUGGGGAAUAUUGGACAAUGGGGGGAACCCUGAUCCAGCCAUGCCGCGUGUGUGAAGAAGGCCUUAUGGUUGUAAAGCACUUUAAGCGAGGAGGAGGCUACUUUAGUUAAUACCUAGAGAUAGUGGACGUUACUCGCAGAAUAAGCACCGGCUAACUCUGUGCCAGCCGCCGCGGUAA
This 501-nucleotide ribosomal RNA is filed under the name uncultured bacterium. RNAcentral describes it as "partial 16S ribosomal RNA". It matches the Rfam family "Bacterial small subunit ribosomal RNA", at positions 30 to 523 of the family's 1533-position model. The record is from RNAcentral.